Molecule: ribosomal RNA, 400 nt
Filed under: uncultured bacterium
Lineage: Bacteria
Description: bacterial SSU rRNA
Rfam family: Bacterial small subunit ribosomal RNA
Source: RNAcentral
UGGGGAAUAUUGGACAAUGGGGGAAACCCUGAUCCAGCCAUGCCGCGUGUGUGAAGAAGGCCUUCGGGUUGUAAAGCACUUUAAGCAGGGAGGAAAGGGUAGUGGCUAAUAUCCAUUAUCAUUGACGUUACCUGCAGAAUAAGCACCGGCUAACUUCGUGCCAGCAGCCGCGGUAAUACGAAGGGUGCAAGCGUUAAUCGGAAUUACUGGGCGUAAAGCGCGCGUAGGCGGUUUGAUAAGUUGGAUGUGAAAUCCCCGGGCUCAACCUGGGAAUUGCAUCCAAGACUGUCAGGCUAGAGUACGGGAGAGGGGGGUAGAAUUCCACGUGUAGCGGUGAAAUGCGUAGAGAUGUGGAGGAAUACCGGUGGCGAAGGCGGCCCCCUGGAUCGAUACUGACGCU